GUAAAUGGCACUGGAAGAAUUCAC
RNAcentral lists this microRNA (24 nucleotides) under Apis mellifera (honey bee). Its description in RNAcentral is "ame-miR-263a-5p". Its record names the gene ame-miR-263a-5p. The record is from miRBase by way of RNAcentral. Lineage: Eukaryota; Metazoa; Arthropoda; Insecta; Hymenoptera; Apidae.